GGGAGGGCUGGGGUUGCAGGGGAGCGCAGCGAUUGAGGGUGCAGUGGAGCCGUGUGAGGGGCCGGGCUGUGGCGAAGGUGGGAAUGAAGACGCUUCCUAGGCCGCGGUCCCUGUGGGCGUCACCGCCUCCCCCAGCUGGAGACGUCCAGGCGCCAGCGUCUUUGGUCUACGCAGGGCGACCGGGUCGCGCGGGGCGAUGGAGGGGCCGGGGCGGGGGACCAGGUCGCGGUGCGCUAAGCAAAAGGGUUUGCAUUUUAUCCUGAAAGCCGCGGAGAGUGUCAGACCACCUCCUCUGUGUUCCCCGCGCAGCCCCUGCACGCCUCCGUCCACAGCACGACGGCAGGGCGUGGACCCCGCCUUGUGCUUCGCGGCUCCCCAGUGCUCACAAGUUUUGCUUUAGGGAACAGACCCAAGUUUCAGUCCAGACGCCACCGUUGACUAGGUGUAUCAACGAGGGCUAGCACUCUGCUUCCUUAUGAGGUGGGCACAGCUCCUGUGGGGGAAUUAAAUGAGAUCAUGUAGUUGAAGAAUUUAGCACGAUGCCUGGAACACAAUAGAAACUCAAUAUAUGUUAAGAGUGUCUUCCCUUCACCCCACCUGAAUUCUUGAGAAACAUCUUUAAAGUGGCCGUGUUAAACCGUGUAUCUUACAGUGUGAAAAUAGCAAAGGUAGCACUGAAUUAACUAUUUUGGGCAAGUUAUUCUUUGAGAUCUACCAAAGCAUAGUCCCUGUGGAAGUCUUUAACAUCAGCCUUGUGUUGUAUACUGCUUACCUGCGGGAAGCUCAGUGUACCCCAUCCGUGUACCUAUAUUGUUGCUACUAUGAAAUCUAAUUUUCAUAGCAUCCAUUAUUCUUUGUUAUACUUUAUGACAUUGAAGGAAAAAUGAGUUAUCCUAGAACUGAAAGGAGAGAAAAGUGGAAAGGCCAGACUAUGAUUUUUAUCUCUUUUUCUCCCCCGCAUUAACCAGUAAUUUCUCAGUGGCUGCUUCUGGCUCAGGAACCUUUGCUGUAUCUUCCAAAGGAUGUCAUUUCUUUCUUUUCAGUGUUGAUGGUUUUUGAACAGGAACGAAGAAGCCUGGAUUGAGGGGUCCCUAAAAGUAGUGAUUAACACCUCUUCAGCCUCCAAGUAGAACGUUUCACAAAAAUCAGUUCCUGGCCCCCUUGCAUGCAAAACAACUUCAUUUUUAACAGAAUGGCCUGCAUUUUUACCAAGUGCUAAAGGUGAUUCUGAUGCACAGAAAAUUGGAAAACUUUGAGGACACGUGUAGGGUGACAAAUCAUUUGGUUUGUCUGGGACUGAGGGCUUUUCCAUGACACAGGACUUUAAGUGUUAAAGCCAGGACAGUCCUGGGCAACUGAGAUGGUCACCCUGGAUACGUGUGAGUAUGUAGUGUUAGAUGUUCUUCCUGGGUCUUGGCGUCCUGGGUUUCCUCAUUGCUAUCUGCAGUAUUUGUGUUUUUAAGUGGGCGUGGGGUGGAGACCGUGGGAGAGGGAUUGAAGGUGAGGUGCAUUGCCAGUUAUCAACCCAUUUAUUCUUGGCUCCAAACCCAUCCUUCACGGCCCUGAUCCCAGUACUGGAACAUUUCUCCCUUGCCAUUUGGCCCAAUGUUAAGCUUCAGCAGUAGAGGGUGCAGGAAGGACAUUAGAGAAAGAAGGCGCUCUUCAUGAUUCCCGUGUGCUUCUCUCAGCUGGCUCUCCAGUGCAUGGUGGCCAGCCGUGAUUGCAACCUCUCUGUAGGCUGAGCUGCAAUGUUAGUUGAAUUUACAGCCUUGUUAGGCUUCUCUUGUGAAGUUAAGGCAUCAGUUGGGACGGAGUGGGAUCCCCAAACUUGAAAUAGGGACAUCUGCUUGGACCCAGGUGAAACUGACAAUCUUGAACACCCAAGUCACCCUGAGCCUCCCUUGGCGGUGGAAGUAGCUUGCUCUCCUGUGUCCGAGGAGACUAGUCGUCCUUUGCUUGAAAACCCUGUGAAGCCUCACCCGGAGCAGAUGACUUGAGAAGUACAGCAUAGGUCUAUACUUCCUAACAGGUGGGAGUGCUUCCAGAUUUGUGCCUUCUUUGGUGUUCUGCCUCCACCUAGAGGUAGGUCAUGGCUGCUCCCUAUAUCUGCUAUUUUGUGUAUUCUUGGAGUUUUCCUUUUCCUCUUGUAGAUAAUACCCUAUUAAGGUUAAUAAUUCUUUACGUUUUUUUUCCUGUUCGAAUUACUUUGUAGUUUCUGUCUCCUGUUUGAUUCCUAACUGUUACAGUGUGAUUGUGGUAUCGGGCCGGGAGCAACAGCUAGCAAGUGGCUGGCCUUAAACUGUAAGUAACUGGUUUGCCUCUGAUUUGGACCCUUACUAUCCUUAGCCCUUUACUCUUGUGCUGCUCUCUGGUUUCUCUUCACCUGAGACAGCUCUCCGACAGUCCUGGUAGGUUUUGCUAAUUCAGUUGCUUUGCCUCUACUCUGAAACCAGCAUUUCUCAGCAUGUGGUUGGAAGAUCAUGUGCAUCAGAGUCACUAGGGGAUGCUUGUCAAAAAUGAAGAUUCUGGGCCACCCAUCCAGAUUCUGGUACACGUGGGACCGACACGAGGACAGAUCAGAAUGGCACACAUCAUUAUGUGUGCAGGACAACUCCUCUCCUGUUCCUUCAUGCUAUUGCACUGAAAGCACAAUGAAAGAGUAAUAAAUUAAAAUCCGCUUUCUGUGUCGUGA
This is a long non-coding RNA of Diceros bicornis minor, 2692 nucleotides long. RefSeq lists it as uncharacterized. The transcript has 2 exons. Lineage: Eukaryota; Metazoa; Chordata; Mammalia; Perissodactyla; Rhinocerotidae. The record is from RefSeq and is a predicted model, not a curated record.